This 66-nucleotide transfer RNA is filed under the name Macoma balthica. RNAcentral's name for it is "Limecola balthica tRNA-Gln". Lineage: Eukaryota; Metazoa; Mollusca; Bivalvia; Cardiida; Tellinidae. The record is from RNAcentral.
UGCAAAGAGGUGUUGUGGCACAUAGAGUUUUGGGUUCUAAGGUAAUAGUUUGGUCUAUUUUUGCAU